This 19791-nucleotide long non-coding RNA is filed under the name Nicotiana tabacum (common tobacco). Its description in RNAcentral is "long non-coding RNA (NTAB_LNC014713)". The record is from RNAcentral. Lineage: Eukaryota; Viridiplantae; Streptophyta; Magnoliopsida; Solanales; Solanaceae.
AAAGAGCCGUGAUAUCCAUGCCCAACCGGAUAUCUCGGCGUAGAUCUCGGCCUGUAUCGACAACAGAUGAAUGAUUAGCGAAAAUGGACAUUUUUAUCUUUCUUAGAAUUGUACUUAGGGUAAAACUCCCCUACUAUAUAAAGGGGAGGUUUAUUAUUCAAUAAACACUCUGUAACAUGCAUACCAAGGCAAUAUACAUCUGUUUUCUCUGCUUCAAAAAGUUAUUCAAAGUUUUUAAUUUUGCUCAUAGUUCUUCAUAAGUGUUUGAUUCCGAACCGAAGGCAGGCUACUUGUUAAGCUUAUAACCGAGCUCGAACUCAAUAUUACUACAGGUUUGGCUGUUUAUUCUAUCUUUAAUUUAUUUAUCUAACAUCAUUAAUCAGACCGACUAUGUGUGAUAAGAAUGUGCCGUUCAUACUUAAGGGUGAGUUCUACAAGGUAGUGGUUAGACCGGUUAUGUUGUAUGAGGCAGAAUGUUGGCCAUUAAAAAAACUCCCAUAUCCAGCAGAUAAAAGUAGCGGAAAUGAGGAUAUUGAGAUGGAUGUGUGGGUAUACUAGGUUGGAUAAAAUUAGGAAUGAAGUUAUUCGGGACAAGGUGGGAGUGGCCCCUGUGGAGGCAAAGAUACGUGAGGCGAGGUUGAGAUGGUUCAGGCAUGUUAAGAAGAGAAGCACAUAUGCCCCAGUUAGGAGAUAUGAGAGGUUGAUCUUGGGAGGUGAGAGGAGGGGUAGAGAUAGACCAAAGAAGUCUUCGGGAGAGGUGAUCAGGAAGGACAUGGCACAACUUGAGCUAACCGAGGAUAUGACCCUAGAUAGAAGGGUGUGGAAGUUGAAGAUUAGGGUAGAAGGUUAGUAGGUAGUCAUGCGUUUCCCUUUGUCUUCUCUAGUUCGAUAAUAUUAGUGUUAGUACGGUACCGUUUUUUCCUUAGUUUGCUAUAUUCGCAUGUCUUGUUCUGUUAUUACUUGCCAUCGGUAAUUCCGUAGUUUGCUAGCAGUACUUCGUUCAUAUUCUUGUUUCUGCCUUGGAUUUGAUUUUCUAAAUAUAUUGUCUUGGUAUUACUUGUGUGAUGACCCAAAAGGUCAUCAUUGGUUUUAGAAAUAAAUUCUGUGUUCCAAGGCCUUAAAAACCUCUUUCAGUAUUACCUCGAUUUACAUGCGCAGUCUGGGUGCGUAGCCGAAAAGCCAUUAUAUGAAAAUUUGUGAAAAAAUGAUAAAAUUUGCCUUUAUAAUGAAUUUAAGUUGACUACGGUCAACAUUUUAGGUAAACAGACCUGGACCCGUGACUUGACGGUACCGGAGGUUCCGUAGAAAAAUAUGGAACUUGGGCGUAUGCCCAGAAUCGAAUUCCGAGGUCCCAAGCCUGAGAAAUGAAUUUUUAAAGAAAAUUAUUUCUGGAAUAUAUAUGAGUUUUUGGAAAUGGAAUAUGUUUGGAAUUUGAUGGUAUCGGGCCUGUAUUUUGGUUUCGGAACCCGGUAUAGGUCGUAUAUGUGAUUUAAGCCGAACCUGUAAAAUUUAGUAGGAAACGGAGGUCAAAUGACGUGAAUCAGACCCUCGUUUGUGAAAUUUGGAACUUAAGUGUUCUUGAGAUUUUUCUUCGAUUUUGAUGUUAAAUUCUUCGUUAAAGAUGUUAUUUUGGAAAUUUGAUCGCACGUUUAAGUUCAUAUGAUGUUUUUGAGUUAGUAUUCAUGUUUGGUUUGGAGCCCCGAGGGCUCGGGUGAGUUUCGGAUAGGUUUCGGAAGGUUUUAAACUUAGAAAAAGUUGCAGGUUUUCAGCUUCUGGUGCACAAGGAUUUUGUGCUUCGCGUUCGCGUGGCUUCACUCACGAACGCAGAAGGCAAUAUCCCUUAGGUGAAAAUUGUUCUUCGCGAACGCAGAGCUUGGGACGCGAACGCGAGGCUGUGGGGGGAAUACCCUACGCGUCCAGGCCCUCGCGAACACGUAGGGUUAGUGGCCUGGGGGAGGGAUUUCAAAGUUACCUUACGCGAACGCAGCCACCUGACAGCGAACGCGAUGACUCUGGGAGCUGAAGCUUCGCGAACGCGAGCUUCUGAUUGUGAACGCGAUGGUCAGCUGGGCCUGACCCAUCACAAAUGUGAUAGGCCCAUCGCGAACCCGAUGAAGGCCUGCCCAGUGAUUUUAAAACAGAAGCAAAAACGGGCAGAACCCAUUUACUUCAUAUUUUCAAAAUUUGGGUGCAUUGAAGCUAUUUUCAAAGAACAAUUUCUUCCCCAAAACAUUGGUAUAUGAUUCUAAACCUUUUUCUUUCAAUUUUCCAUUGCAUUUCAUCAAUUUUCAUCCUAAAAUCUAGGGUUUUCAUGGCGGAAAUUAGGGAAUUGGGUAGAGUUAGGGCUUUUUGAUUAAUUGGGAUUUAGACCUCGUUUUGGGGUCGGAUUCCGAAAAUAAUUGCAUAUUUGGGCUUGUGGGUGAGUGGGUGAUCGGGUUUUGGUCCGAACCUCGAGUUUUGACCCAGCGGGCCCGGGGUCAAUUUUUGACUUUUUGGGAAAAAUGAUAGAAAACCUAUAAUUAAGCAUUGAGUACGAAUUCUUUAGCAUUUAUUGAUGUUAUUAAAUCAAUUUAGACUAGAUACGCGUUAUUUGGAGGCGAAUUCUAAAGGAAAAACGGUGUUUGAGGCUUGAGUUGGCCGUGGAAGUUUGAGGUAAGUGUUUGGCCUAACCUUAGCUUGAGGGAUUAUGAGUCGUGUCCUAUUUGCUAUGUGUUAUUUGUUGAGUACGACGUAUAGGCAUGGUGACGAGUAUCUAUACGUUGGUGUCAACCAUGCCCGUGAGUCUUAAAUUGAAAUUGUGGUUCUUAAUAAGUACUACGAAUACCUAAGUUGAUUCUCUGUGUUGGGCAAGAAUUAUGAUUAUUCUCGUGGAAAUUGCUUAUGGUUGAGUGUUGGUGCUAGUUGAGGUUUCUUUUGUGAAGUUUAAAUGUUGGAAUAAGUUUGGUUAUAACUGAUUCCCUUGCCGGGACGUAUUUACUUAUACUGUCGAUUCCCUUGUCAGGAUAGUGUUGUUUCCUUAUUGUUCCAUUGCUGGGACUCUUUUAUGAUUGGAGUUGAAUUGUAUAUUGGGAUCGGGUUGCACGCCGCAAUAAUAUUAUAUUUGGAUCGGGUUGCAUGCUGCAACAACAUUAUAAUUGGAUCGGGUUGCACGCCGCAAUAGUGAUAAAUGAUAUGGAUCGGGUUGCAUGCCACAACAAUAUUUUUAUGAUUUGGAUCGGGUUGCGCGCCGCAACAAUAAAUGAUAAAAGUGGUUAUUGAUUGGUUACAGUUUUCCUUAUUCUUUCUGCUGCGAAUUUUAAAUUGUUCUUUAUGCCUUUCUCCUGAGUUAUUGUUGGUAAAUGAUAUUUCCCCACAACAUGUCCCCCUCCCAUCCUUAAUUGUACAUUUCUGUCUUUAUUUUCUGCUGUAUAUGAUAUAACUGCACAGGUUUAUUUGGUAGUCUAGUCCUAGCCUCGUCACUACUUCGCCGGGGUUAGGCUAGGCACUUACCAGUUUAGUUGUGCUGAUACUACACUCUGUACUGUGUGUAGAUCCCGGAGUAGCAACUUUUGGACCUUAGCUUGGGUGGCUGCCUUCAGUCCAUACGGUGAUCCAAGGCCGUCUUGCAGGCGUCCGCAGGCCCUAGCGUCUCCCUCUAUCUUUUCUUCCUGUUUCACUUAUGUAAUUUAAAAACAAUGAUUUAUUUAUUUUUUAGACCUUGUUUGUAGAAUUCUUAGACCGUUUGUGGAGUUGUGACACCAGUCUUGGGUAGUUUUUGCUUAAGAAAUCAUGUUGGAAUUAUUUAAAUGGUGUAAUUGUUUUCUUUUGCUUGUCUUAAAUUUUCGUUGUUUAUAACUGUUGAUUCACAUUCGUUAAAGAAUUAAGGUGGGAAAAAGUAAUUUGUUCAAAUGGUCGGCUUGCCUAGCUUUCACUAGUAGGUGCCAUCACGAUUCCCGAGGGUAGGAAAUCUGGGUCGUGACAAGUUGGUAUCAGAGCUCUAGGUUACAUGGGUCUUACAACUCACAGCUUAGUAGUGUCUGAGGGAUCGGUACGGAGGCGUCUGUAUUUAUCUUCAGAGGCUACAGAGUUAGGAAAACACUUCACAUUUAUUCUUUACUAUCGUGCAGUUUGGUUUCUCAAUGCUAAUUGAAUUUCUACUCUGUUCUUUCGCAGAUGUCAAGAACACGCGCUUCCUCAUCCACCGAUCAACAGCUCGAGCCCCUAGUAGUAGAUCCCACGAGGGGCAGAGGGCGAGGCCGAGGUCGUGCUAGAGGCCGAGGUAGGGGUAGAGCUCAGCCUAGAGUAGCAGCAAUAGCGGCGGAGCCUCAGGUUGACUUUGAUGAUGAGGUUCCAUCUCAGACAGUCCCGGUGGGCCCAGUUCAGGUCCUAGUGGGGUUUAUUGCUACCCCAGUACUCCAGGAUGCUCUGGUCCGUCUAGUGGGCCUUAUGAAGAGCGUCACCCGGGAAGACUUGCUUCCUGUAGCACCAGCCGUCUCUCAGGAUGGAGGAGGAGCCCAGACUUCUGCUACUCGCACUCCAGAGUAGAUGGAUCCCCAGUUUCAAACUCCAGCAGCUCAGCUAGUUGGAGCAGCUCAGCCGGGUGUGGUAUCUCAAACCGGUGAUGGAGCAGCCAUGUAUGCUAAUGCUUUGUGGAGAUUGGAUAGGUUCACCAAGCUCUUCACUACUACUUUCAACGUUGCAUCUUCGAAGGAUCCCCAGGAUUAUCUAGAUAGCUAUCAUGAGGUUCUCAGGAACAUGGGGAUAGUGGAGACCAAUGGGGACAACUUUGCUACUUUCCGCUUGUUUGGAUAUGCCAAGACUUGGUGGAGAGAUUAUUGUUUGGCUAGGCCAGCCGGAUCACCAGCUUUGACUUGGGAGCAGUUUACUUAGAUAUUUUUGGAGAAGUUUCUCCUUAUCACUCAGAGAGAGAUCUAUCGGAGGCAGUUUGAGCAUCUCCAGCAGGGUUAUAUGAUUGUUACUCAGUACAAGACCAGGUUCAUCGACUUGGCCCGUCAUGUUCUUAUCAUGCUUCCCACCAAGAGAGAGAGGGUGAGGAGGUUCAUUAAGGGACUCAUUCAGCCUAUUCGACUUCAGAUGGCUAAGGAGACGGGCAGUGAGAUUUAUUUCCAGGAGGCGGCCAAUGUGGCCAAGAGAGUUAAGAUGGUUCUAUCGCAGGGGGGUGGUCAGGGGUCUGACAAGAGGCCUCGUCAUUCAGGCAGAUUCUGUGGUGCCUCGUCUGGAGGCAGAGAUUCAUAUGGUAGAGGCCAUCAUCCUAAGCCUUUUCAGUCAGCACUUCAGGUUUCUCACGGCUCUUCAGGUGGCCGUGGUUCUCAUAUGUAGUAUUCUGAUCAGUAGCCCUACAGUGCACCACCAACUCCUAUCAAUGCACCACCACUCUAGAGUUUUCGGGGUGGUCAUUCAGGUCGCCAAGGUUAGUCUCACUUUCCCCAUCCACAACAUUCAGGUGGAUGCUUUGAGUGCGGUGAGUAUGGUCAUAUCCGGAGGGCUUGUCCAAGAUUAGAGGGUAUUCAGUUGCAGCAACAGGGUUCCCGUGCUAUGGUUCAGGCGCCAGGUGUUCCACCGCCCGCCCCGCCAGUUAGUGGUGGGGGUAUAGGCAAUAGAGGUGGAGGUAGAGGUGGAGGUCAGACAACUAGAGGUGGAGGUCAGCCAGCAGCAGGCCAUCCCAGAGAUGUAGUUCAGGGUUGUGGGGCCCAACCCCGAUGUUAUGCUCUUCCAGCCAGGCCUGAGGCUGAGGCUUUCGAUGCAAUUAUCAUAAGUACUGUUCUGGUUUGUAGCAGAGAUGUUUCAGUUUUAUUUGAUCUAGGAUCUACAUACUCCUAUGUGUCAUCUUAUUUUGCACCGUAUCUGGUCAUGCCUAGUGAUUCUUUGAGUGCUCCUAUAUAUGUGUCUACAUCGGUGGGUGAUUCUAUUAUGGUAGAUCGAGUCCAUCGUUCGUGUAUAGUUGUGAUUGGAGGUCUUGAGACUCGUGUAGAUUUGUUACUUCUAGACAUGAUUGAUUUUGAUAUCAUAUUGGGGAUGGAAUGUUAUCACUUUACCAUGCUAUCUUGGACUGUCAUGCCAAGACUGUGACCUUAUCCUUGCCAGGUUUACCUCGUUUAGAGUGGAGAGGGACUCCUAGUCAUUCUACACAUAGUGUUAUCUCAUAUAUGAAGACNNNNNNNNNNNNNNNNNNNNNNNNNNNNNNNNNNNNNNNNNNNNNNNNNNNNNNNNNNNNNNNNNNNNNNNNNNNNNNNNNNNNNNNNNNNNNNNNNNNNNNNNNNNNNNNNNNNNNNNNNNNNNNNNNNNNNNNNNNNNNNNNNNNNNNNNNNNNNNNNNNNNNNNNNNNNNNNNNNNNNNNNNNNNNNNNNNNNNNNNNNNNNNNNNNNNNNNNNNNNNNNNNNNNNNNNNNNNNNNNNNNNNNNNNNNNNNNNNNNNNNNNNNNNNNNNNNNNNNNNNNNNNNNNNNNNNNNNNNNNNNNNNNNNNNNNNNNNNNNNNNNNNNNNNNNNNNNNNNNNNNNNNNNNNNNNNNNNNNNNNNNNNNNNNNNNNNNNNNNNNNNNNNNNNNNNNNNNNNNNNNNNNNNNNNNNNNNNNNNNNNNNNNNNNNNNNNNNNNNNNNNNNNNNNNNNNNNNNNNNNNNNNNNNNNNNNNNNNNNNNNNNNNNNNNNNNNNNNNNNNNNNNNNNNNNNNNNNNNNNNNNNNNNNNNNNNNNNNNNNNNNNNNNNNNNNNNNNNNNNNNNNNNNNNNNNNNNNNNNNNNNNNNNNNNNNNNNNNNNNNNNNNNNNNNNNNNNNNNNNNNNNNNNNNNNNNNNNNNNNNNNNNNNNNNNNNNNNNNNNNNNNNNNNNNNNNNNNNNNNNNNNNNNNNNNNNNNNNNNNNNNNNNNNNNNNNNNNNNNNNNNNNNNNNNNNNNNNNNNNNNNNNNNNNNNNNNNNNNNNNNNNNNNNNNNNNNNNNNNNNNNNNNNNNNNNNNNNNNNNNNNNNNNNNNNNNNNNNNNNNNNNNNNNNNNNNNNNNNNNNNNNNNNNNNNNGAGGUAUUUCCUUCAGACCUGCCGGGUAUGCCAUCCGACAGGGAUAUUGACUUCUGCAUUGAUUUGGCUCCGGGCACUCAUCCCAUUUCUAUUCCGACGUAUCGUAUGGCCCCGCCCGAGUUGAAAGAGUUGAAGGAGCAGUUGCAAGACUUGCUUGAAAAAGGUUUUAUUAGACCUAGUGUUUCGCCUUGGGGUUCGCUAGUGUUGUUUGUUAAGAAGAAGGAUGGAUCGAUGGGAAUGUGUAUAGAUUACCGGCAGUUGAACAAGGUUACAAUUAAGAAUAAGUAUCCAUUACCGAGGAUUGAUGAUUUGUUUGAUCAGCUUCAGGGUGCCAAGGUAUUUCCGAAGAUUGACUUGAGAUCUGGCUACCAUCAGUUGAGGAUUAGGGCAUUCGAUGUCCCUAAGAUAGCUUUCCGCACUUGGUACGAGCAUUACAGGUUCUUGGUAAUGUCAUCCGGGUUGACUAAUGCCCCAACAACUUUUAUGGAUUUGAUGAACCAAGUGUUCAGGCCUUACUUGGAUUCAUUCGUGAUAGUCGUCAUUGAUAAUAUUUUGAUCUAUUUCCAUAGCCGGGAGGAGCAUGAGCAACAUCUGAGAGUGGUUCUUCAGACUUUGAGGGAUAGUCAGUUGUAUGCUAAGUUUUCGAAGUGUAAGUUCUGGUUGAGUUCAGUUGCAUUCUUGGGUCAUUUGUAUCAAUAGAGGGUAUUCAGGUAGAUCCGAAGAAGAUAGAGGCAAUCAAGAACUAGCCUAGACUAAUAUCAGCUACAAAGAUCUGGAGUUUCUUGGGAUUGGUAGGCUAUUAUCGUCGGUUUGUGGAGGGGUUUUCAUCUAUUGCAGCCCCGAUGACCAGGUUGACCCAGAAGGGUGCCCAGUUCAGGUGGUCGGAUGAGUGUGAGGCAAGAUUUCAAAAGCUCAAGACAACUUUGACUGCAGCACCGGUGUUGGUUUUGCCUACAGGUUCAGGGUCGUACACAGUUUAUUGUGAUGCAUCUCGUAUUGGACUUGGUGCGAUGUUGAUGCAGGAUGACAAGGUCAUUGAAUAUGCUUCGCGGCAGUUAAAGAUUCAUGAGAAGAACUAUCCGGUUCAUGAUUUGAAGUUAGCAGCCAUUGUUCAUGCGUUGAAUAUCUGUAUGGCGUGGCAUGUGAGGUAUUCACAGAUCACAAGAGUCUGCAGUACUUGUUCAAGCAGAAGGAGUUAAAUUUGAGGGAGAAAAGGUGAUUGGAGCUGUUGAAAGACUAUGAUAUCACCAUCUUAUAUCAUCCGAGAAAGGUCAAUGUGGUGGCCGAUGCUUUGAGUUGGAAGUCAACCAGUAUGGGCAGUCUUGCUUAUAUUCUGGUCAGUGAGAGACCGCUUGCUUUGGAUGUUCAGGAUUUGGCCAAUCAGUUCGUGAGGUUGGAUGUUUCUGAUCCCAGCAGUGUGUUAGCUUGCACAGUCACUUGUUCUUCUUUAUUGGAGCGUAUCCGAGAUCGACAGUAUGAUGAUCCUCAUUUGUAUGUCCUUAGAGACACGGUGCAACACGGAGGUGCCAAGCAGGUCACCUUAGGAGAUGAUGGAGUUUUGAGAUUGCAAGGUCGAGUUUGUGUGCCUAAUGUAGAUGGACUCCGAGAGUUGAUUUUAGAGGAGGCCCAUAGUUCCCGGUACUCUAUUCAUCCGGGCACCGCUAAGAUGUAUCAGAAUUGGCGGCAGCAUUAUUGGUGGAAGAGAAUGAAGAAGGACAUUGUUGCAUAUGUGGCUCGGUGUUUGAACUGUCAGCAGGUUAAGUACGAGCAUCAUAGUCCUGGUGGUUUGUUCCAGAAGAUUGAGAUUCCUGAGUGGAAGUGGGAGUGUAUCACUAUGGACUUCGUUGUUGCACUCCCACAGACUUAGAGGAGUUCGAUGUAGUGUGGGUUAUUGUUGAUAGGCUGACCAAGUUAGCACAUUUCAUUCCUGUGGCAGUCUCCUAUUCUUCCAAAAGGUUAGAUGAGAUCUAUAUCCGGGAGAUUGUUUGCCUUCAUGAUGUGCUCGUGUCUAUCAUUUUGGAUCGAGGUACGUAGUUUACCUCACAUUUCUGGAGAGCAGUUCUGCGAGAGUUGGGCAUACGAGUUAAGUUGAGCACAACGUUUCAUCAUCAGAUGGACGGGCAGUCUAAGUGGACCAUUCAGAUUUGGAGGAUAUGCUCUGAGCUUGUGUCAUCGACUUUGGAGGCUCGUAAGAUCAGUUUUUGCCUUUAGUAGAGUUUGCCUACAACAACAGCUACCAGUCGAGUAUCUAGAUGGCUCCUUAUGAGGCUUUGUAUGGUAGGCGGUGUCGGUCGCCGGUUGGAUGGUUUUAUCCGGGAGAGGCUCGGUUGUUGGGUACGGAUCUAAUGUAGGAUGCCUUAGACAAGGUCAAGAUUAUUUAGGAUAGGCUCCAUACAGCUCAGUCUAGGAAAAAGAGUUACGUUGACCGUAAGGUUCGUGAUUUGGAAUUCAUGGUUGGUGAGCGGGUAUUGCUUCGGGUGUCGCCUAUGAAGGGCGUGAUGAGAUUUGGAAAGAAGGGCAAGCUUAGCCCUAGGUUCAUUGGCCCGUUUGAGAUUCUUGAUAGAGUGAGAGAGGUGGCUUAUAGACUUGCAUUGCUACCGAGCUUAUCAGCCGUGCAUCCAGUGUUUCAUGUGUCCAUACUUCGAAAGUAUCACGACAAUCCAUCUUACGUGUUAGAUUUAAGCACUGUCCAGUUGGACAAGGACUUGUCCUAUGAGGAGGAGCCGAUAGCUAUUCUAGACCGGCAAGUUCAUGAGUUGAUAUCAAAGAGUUUUCCUUCUGUUCGUGUUCAGUGGAGAGGUCAGCCUACUGAGGCAUCGACCUGGAGUCCAAGUCUGAUAUGCGGAGCCUAUCCCCAUCUUUUCCCCAACUCAGGUACUUCAUUCUUAUGUCUGUUCGAGGACGAACAAUUGUUUUAGAGGUGGAGAAUGUGAAAUAAAUUUUUUGUUCCGAGGCCUUAAAAAUCUCUUUCAAUAUCACUUCGAUUUGGUGCUCAGUUUGAGCGCGUAGCCGGAAAGCCAUUAUGUGAAAAUAUGUGAAAAAUGAUAUAAUUUACCUUUAAAAUGAAAUUAAGUUGACUUCGGUCAAUAUUUUGGGUAAACGGACUCGGACCCAUGAUUUGACAGUCCCGGAUGGUCCGUAAGAAAAUAUGGGACUUGGGCGUAUGCUUGGAAUCGAAUUCCGAGGUCCCAAGCCCGAGAAAUGAAUUUUUAAAGAAAAUUAUUUUCUGGAAUAUAUAUGAGUUUUUGGAAAUGGAUUAUGUUUGGAAUUUGAUAGUAUCGGGCCCGUAUUUUUGUUUCGUAGCCCGGUACAGGUCUUAUAUGUGAUUUAAGCCGAACCUGUUAAAUUUGGUAGGAAACGGAGGUCAAAUGACGUGAAUCGGACCCUCGGUUGUGAAAUUUGGAACUUAAGUAUUCUUGAGAUUUUUCUUCGAUUUUGAUGUUAAAUUCGUUGUUAAAGAUGUUAUUUGGCGAUUUGAUCGCACGGAUAAGUUCAUAUGCUGUUUUUGAGUUAGUAUGCAUGUUUAGUUUGGAGCCUAGAGGGCUCAGGUGAGUUUCGGAUAGGUUUCGGAAGGUUUUAAACUUAAAAAAAAGUUGCAGGUUUUCAGUUUCUUGUGCACAGGGAUUUUGUGCUUCGCGUUCGCGUGGCUUCACUCGCGAAUGCGGAAGGCAAUAUCCCUUAGGUGAAAAUUGUUCUUCGCAAAUGCGGAGCUUCGGACACGAACGCGAGGCUGUGGGGAGAAUACCCUAUGCGUCCAGGCCCUCGCGAACACGUAAGGUUAGUGGCCUCGGGGAGGGAUUUCAAACUUACCUUACACGAACACAACCACCUGACCGUGAACGGGAUAACUUUGGGAGUUGAAGCUUCGCGAACGUGAGUUUCUGUUCGCAAACGCAAUGGUCAGCUGGGUCUGACCCAUCACGAACGCGACAGGCCCAUCGCGAACGCGAUGAAGGCUUGCCCAGUGAUUUUAAAACAGAAGCAAAAACGGGCGGAACCCAUUUACUUCAUAUUUUCAAAAUUUGGGAGCAUUGAAGCGAUUUCAAAGAAAAAUUUCUUCCCCAAAAUAGUGGUAUAUGAUUCUAAACCUUUUUCUUUCAAUUUCCCAUUGCAUUUCAUCAAUUUUCAUCCUAAAAUCUAGGGUUUUCAUGGCAGAAAUUAGGGAAUUGGGUAGAGUUAGGGCUUUUUGAUUAAUUGGGAUUUAGACCUCGUUUUAGGGUCGGAUUCCGAAACAAAUUGCAUAUUCGGGCUUGUGGGUGAAUAGGUGAUGGGAUUUUGGUCCGAACCUCGAGUUGACCAAGCGGGCCCGGGGUCAAUUUUUGACUUUUUGGGAAAAUGAUAAACUACCUAUAAUUAAGCAUUGGGUACGAAUUCUUUAGCAUUUAUUAAUGUUGUUAAUCAAUUUGGACUAGAUACGAGUUAUUUGGAGGCAAAUUCUAAAGGAAAAGCGGUGUUUGAGGCUUGAGUUGGCCAUGGAAGUUUGAGGUAAGUGUUUGGCCUAACCUUAGCUUGAGGGAUUAUGAGUCAUGUCCUAUUUGCUCUGUGUUAUUUGUUGAGUACGACGUAUAGGCAUGAUGACGAGUAUCUAUACGUUGGUGUCAAGCAUGCCCGUGAGUCUUAAAUUGAAAUCGUGUGUUCUUAAUAAGUACUACGAAUGCCUAAGUUGUUGAUUCUCUGUGUUGGGCAAAAAUUAUGAUUAUUCUCGUGAAAAUUUCUUAUGGUUGAGUGUUGGUGCUAGUUGAGGUUUCUUUGUGAAGUUAAAUGUUGGAAUAAGUUUGGUUAUAGCUGAUUCCCUUGCCGGGACGUAUUUACUUAUACUGUCAAUUUCCUUGCCGGGAUAGUAUUAUUUCCUUAUUGUUCCCUUACUGGGACUCUUUUAUGAUUGGUGUUGAAUUGUAUAUUGGGAUCGGGUUGUACGCCGCAACAAUAUUAUAUUUGGAUCGGGUUGCACGUCGCAACAACAUUAUAAUUGGAUUGGGUAGCACGCCUUAAUAGUGAUAAAUGAUAUGGAUCGGGUUGCACGCCGCAACAGUAUUUUUAUGAUUUGGAUCGGGUUGCGCGCCGCAACAAUAAAUGAUAAAAGUGGUUAUUGAUUUGUUACGGUUUUCCUUAUUCUUUCUACUGCGAAUUUUAAAUUGUUCUUUAUGCCUUUCUCCUGAGUUACUGUUGGUAAAUGAUAUUCCCCCGCAGCAUGUCCCCCUCCCAUCCUUAAUUGUACAUUUCUGUCUUUAUUUUCCGCUGUAUAUGAUAUAACUGCAUAGUUUUAUUUGGUAGUCUAGUCCUAGCUUAGUCACUACUUUGUCGGGGUUAGGCUAGGCACUUACCAGCACAUGGGGUCGAUUGUGCUGAUACUACACUCUGCACUGUGUGUAGAUCCCAGAGCAGCAGCUUUUGGACCUUAGCUUGGGUGGCUGCCUUCAGUCCUUACGGAGAUCCAAGGUAGUCUUGCAGGUGUCAGCAGGCCCUGGUGUCUCCCUCUAUCUUUUCUUCCUGUUUCACUCAUGUAAUUCAGAAACAAUGUUGUAUUUAUUUUUCAGACCUUGUUUGUAGAAUUCUUAGACCGUCUGUGGAGUUGUGACACCAGUCUUGAGUAAUUUUUGCUUAAGAAAUCAUGUUGGAAUUAUUUAAAUUGUUUAAUUGUUUUCUUCCGCUUGUCUUAAAUUUUUGCUGUUUAUAACUAUUGAUUCACAUUCGUUAAAGAAUUAAAGUGGGAUAAAGUAAUUUGUUCAAAUGGUGAGCUUGCCUAGCUUUCACUAGUAGGCGCCAUCAUGACUCCCGAGGGUGGAAAAUCCGAGUCGUGACAACUUGUUAUCCGUACCUCUUUCAUAUUCUCUGUUGUUAUCUUCGAUUUAGUUUUCUAAUUAUUUUUCUUCUAUUACUUGCUAUCAGGGCUUCUUUCAUCUUCUUUAGCCGAGAGUCUAUCAGAAACAAUCUCUCUGCCCUUCCAGGGUAUGGGUAAGGCUGCGUACAUCCUACCCUUCCCAGACCCCAUUUGUGGGAUUAUACUGGGUGGUUGUUGUUAUCGUUGUUAACGUCACUAAUUACUUGUAUUAAAUUAGUCCACAUAUCCUUAAAACUGCGUAUAAAUUCAAUUGUUAUCCAUUUUUAAGGGCAAACAGUUUGGCGCCCACUGUGGGGCUAAGGAUAAUAGUGGUAGUUUGAUACAAAUUUCCAUAACACACUAUAUUUUACGCUUGUUCUUUUAGAUUUUAAUUUCAGGUCUACCUAAGAAUGUCAAACUCUCAGUCUGCUCACUUGAACAUUGAUACUGAAUCUGGCCAUAAUGGCGAAAACAACAAUAUAGUACCUGGCAACGAGGUGUCCCCUACAGAUCCUAAUGGAGUCCUAGUUGCAGAAUCAAUCGAUGCCAACCUGCCGAUCGACCCUGAGAACAGCAUUCGCGGAGGAGCCCGACCAACGACUCGAGGUAUGCCCGAAGGUGAAGGCGACGGGAUCAAUCUGCGAGUGAUCAUUGAAAUUUUAUAGGCCCAACAAGUGGCGAUAGCACAACUACAAAAUCAAAGCCGCACCCCAACAGAGUUGAGCCCGAACCAUCCGGGAAAACACCCGAAGAAAUGAGCAAGUCAUAGAAAGGCCGGGUGAAGCUGAGCUCGAGACCAAUCCUGAAAUAAUAAAAAUGCUUGAGGAACUGACAAAGUGGGUAGAAUCAGGGGAGAAAAAAAUGAAGCUAACGACAAAAAAUUAGAGACCUAUAAUUCCGGGGUUGAUCAAAUCCCAGGAGCGCCCCAUAUUGAAAGGCCUGGAAUCCAAGAAAUUUUCCAAAAGCCUUUCCCUUCGAUUGCGGCACCGAAGCCAAUCCCGAAGAAGUUUCGUAUGCCCGAUAUUCCGAAGUAUAACGGGACCAUGGAUCCAAAUGAGCACGUGAUCUCCUACACGUGUACCAUCAAGGAAAAUGACUUGUAAGAUGACGAGAUGAAGUUGGUUUUGUUAAAAAAGUUCGGAGAAACACUAUCAAAAGGAGUAAUGAUAUGAUGUCACAACUUACCCCCAAAUUCUAUUAAUUCGUUUGCUAUGCUUGUAGAUGCCUUUGUGAAAGUGCAUGCCGGGGCCAUCCAGGUUGAGACCAGAAAAUCAAACCUUUACAAAGUAAAAUAAAGAGAUAACAAAAUGCUUAGGGAAUUCGUAUCGAGGUUUCAAAUGGAACAAAUGGACCUUUCUCCGGCUGCGGAUGAUUGGGCCAUUCAAGUGUUUACUCAAGGACUCAUCCCCUAAAGCUCCUUGGCUUCACAAUAUUUGAAAUAGAAUUUGAUCGAGUACCCGGCGGUAACAUGGGCCGAAGUCCAUAACAGGUACCAGUCAAAAUUCAGAGUCGAGGACGAUCAACUUGCGGACCCCUCCAGAUCCAUUUAUCCCGUCAGAACUAAUAACAUGCCUAAGAGAGCCGUCGAUCAUGAACAAAGACUGAACAAAUACCGGUAUCAACCGUAUAGCAGAGAUCGAAGGGGUAAGGAUCUGGGCGUAACCUUGUGAGAAAUGAAAGGAGGAUCGAUCGAUGCCACAAUAGUCGGGGACUCAUGAACAAAAAUAGUUUCGACAGGCCACUCGGGGCCAGAGAGGAACUUAGGUUAUCGGAUUAUAACUUCAAUCUCGAUGUUAGCAGCAUCGUAUCUGCCAUCAGGCACAUUAAAGAUACCAAGUGGCUUUGACCAUUGUAGUCCGACCCUAACCUGAUGUGUAAGUAUCAUGGCACUCAUGGCCACAUGACUGAGUACUGCUGAUGAUUAAGAUAAGAAGUGGCCCGACUAUUCAAUAACGUGCAUCUCCUGUAAUUUCUGAGUGAUCAAAAGUCACUUCAGGAACAAGGACUUCAACAAACAGACCGUGCAAGAAGAAAAAAUGUAUAUCGCAUGGAAAAAAUGAACCUGAUAUUAUAUCAGGGAGGGAACCAUUUCGUUCAAUGAUGAGGACGCUGAAGGCAUCGUAUAACCGCAUAAUAAUGCACUGGUAAUAUCUGUACUUAUAAAUAAAUCUCGAGUUAAGCGUGUGUUGAUUAAUCCAGUUAGCUCAGGCAACAUCAUCAGAUCGAGGGUCGUGGAGCAGUUGGGUCUACAAGACCAAAUAGUGCCAGUAGUCCGGGUUUUAAACGGAUUCAACAUGGCAUGAGAAACUACCAAAGGAGAAAUAACCUUGCCAGUAAAUACUGCCGGGAAAAUUCAGGAUACCAAAUUCUACGUGGUCGAGGGGGACAUGAGGUAUAAUGCCUUAUUCAUAAGGCUUUGGGUUCACAACAUGAGGGAAGUACCCUCGACACAACACCAGGCACUAAAGUUCCCCACUGGGAGGUAUCAAGAAAAUUUAUGAAGAGCAGCCGGCCGAAAAAGAAAUGUUCGCAGUCGUUGAAGUGAUCCCGAUGUCCUCACUCUCGACAUCAAAGUACACGGAGCUAGUUAAGAAGGAAGAAAGUAAAUGGCAAUCACCGAUAUUGGCCUCGACCAAACAGGAGAAGCAAGGAGCAGGCGAGGAUGAUGGCUACGGAGUCCCUAGGUCGUUUAUCACGUGAUGAUUCUGAUGCCACCACGUCGACAGUUGAGGAGCUGGAGCAAGUCAUAUUAAUUGAACACUUUCCCAAUCGGAAGGUAUACCUGGGCACGGGCUAACUCCCGAGCUUUGAAAAAAACUCAUUCAAUUCCUUAUGACUAACAUAGACUGUUUCUCUUGGUCCUAUCUAGAUAUGAUAGGGAUCCCGCCAGAGAUAACCACUCAUAAGUUGAGCUUGGAUACGAAGUUCCACUCGGUUUAACAGAAGAGAAGAUCGCAGUCCAAAUUCAAGCAUACAUUCAUCAAAGACGAGAUAUCUAAACUCCUUAAAAUAGGUUCCAUUCGGGAAGUUAAGCACCCGGAUUGGUUAGCUAAUGUAGUGGUAGUGCCUAAAAAGGGAAAUAAAUUAAGAAUGUGCAUAGAUUAUAAAGACUUGAACAAGGCGUGCCCUAAGGACUCUUUUCCUUUUCCUAACAUCGAUCACAUAAUUGAUGUGAUGGCUAGGCACGAGAUACUCAGCUUCCUCGACGCCUAUUCCGGGUACAACCAGAUCCGGAUGGACCCGGGCGAUCAAGAGAAAACUUCCUUUAUCACUAAAGUCGGUACCUAUCGUUAUAACAUAAUGCCGUUCGGACUAAAGAACACCUGCGCCAUUUAUCAACGCCUAGUAAACUGGAUGUUCGAAGAACAAAUAGAUAAAUAAAUGGAAGUUUAUAUUGAAGACUUGUAAGUUAAGUUCCUACAAGCAGAAGACCAUUUGAAACACUUGCAUGAAACCUUUGACAUAUUGAAGAGAUACAAUAUGAAGUUGAACCCGGAAAAAUGUGCAUUCAGGGUCGUGUCUGAAAAAUUCCUUGGAUUCAUGGUGUCCAACCGAGGGAUUGAGAUCAAUCCCAAUACAACCAAACCUAUAAAAGAAAUCACCAUGGUGGGCAGUGUCAAGGCCAUUCAGAGGCUAACCGGGCGCAUAACCACCCCGGGCUGGUUCAUAUCAAGAUCCUUAGGUAAAAGUCAUUGGUUCUUCUCGCUAUUGAAGAAGAAGAAUAACUUUUUUUGGACUCCGGAAUGCAACAAGCUUUGGAAGAGCUUAAACGGUUCCUUUCGAGUCUACCCCUGCUCCAUACUCUGAAGGCGGAUGAGCAGUUGUACCUUUACUUGGAAGUAUCUGAGGUGGCGGUAAGCGGGGUCUUAGUCCGAGAAGAGGAAGGUACGUGAUUUCCUACUUACUAUGUUAGUAGAACUCUAGGCGAGGCCGAAACGAGGUAUCCUCACCUGGAAAAACUAGCGCUCGCUUUGCUAAGCACCUCCAGAAAGUUGAAACUAUACUUUCAAUACCACCCCAUAUGUGUCGUAACCUCUUACCCGCUAAGGAAUAUUAUACACAAACCGAGCUCUCGAGUAGGUUUUCUACAUGGGUCGUAGAAAUUAGUGAGUAUGAUAUCGAAUAUCGACCUCGAACCGCCAUCAAAUCACAAAUCUUGGCAGACUUCGUGGCCGACUUUACCCCGAACUUACUAUCCGAAGUUGAAAAGGAACUGUUGUUAACCUCGAGGUCUUCCUUGGGAAUCUAGACCCUCUUUAUGGAUGAUGCUUCGAACGCAAAUGGGUCUGGACUCGGCAUCGUGUUGAAGCCGCAUAUGGGAAACGUAGUUAGGCAGUAUAUUAGAACUGUGAAAUUGACUAAGAAUAAGGCCGAGUAUGAGGCCAUGAUUGCAGGUCUCGAAUUGGCUAAAAGCCUUGGGGUCGAGGUGGUCCAAGCUAAGUGCGAUUCUCUCCUUGUGGUACAUUCAAAGUAAAAAAGGAACAAAUGCGAAGGUGUUUAGAAAAAUUGUAGGUAAUGCUGCAUCAAUUCAAGGAAUGGACCUUAUAGUACGUGCCUCGAGAUCAAAAUAGCAAGGCCAAUGCUCUAGCUAACUUGGGGUCAUCGGUUGAUGACAAUGAAUUUAGCUCAGGAACAGUCGUACAAGUCAUGAAGUCAGUAGUGGAAGAAGGCCAUGCCGAAAUAAACUCAACAAGUUUAACUUGGGAUUGCAAAAACAAGUAUAUAGACUAUUUGAAAACUAGGAAGUUGCCCUCGGAUCCUAAAGAAUCAGAGCUCUACGCAGAAGGAGGCCAGAUUCAGCCUAUCCGAAGGGAUUUUGUUCAGAAGAACAUUCGACGGCCUGCUCGCCAUAUGCUUGGGGCUGGGAGAUACCGAAUAUGUAUUGAGAGAAGUUCACAAAGGCACCUCUAAAAACCAUUCGGGGGCAGAAUCUUUGGUUUGGAAGAUAAUCAGGGCCGACUAUUACUGGAUCGAUAUGGAAAAAGAUGCAAAGGACUUUGUACGAAGAUGUGACGGCUGUCAAAGGCACGCACUGAUGAUCCAUCAACCCGGAUAACUACUCCAUUCGGUCUCAUCCCCAUGGCCAUUCAUGAAAUUGGGAAUGGACAUCAUCGGUCCCAUGCCGUGGGCACCUGGUAAGGCUCAAUUCAUACUGUUUAUAACCGAUUAUUUUUCUAAAUGGGUCGAAGCUCAAAUGUUCAAUAAAGUUUGAGAAAAAGAAGUCACUGACUUUAUUUGGGACCACAUAAUAUUCUAGUUUGUGAUACCGGCCGAGAUCGUAUGUGAUAACAGGAAUCAAUUCAUCGGCAGCAAGGUAAAGAAGUUUUUUGAAGACCACAAGAUUAAAAAUAUACUAUCCAUACCCUAUCACCGUAGUGGGAAUGGACAAGCAAAAUCUACCAACAAGACCAUACUCCAAAACUUGAAAAAUAGGUUGACCGAUGCCAAAGGGAAGUGGAAGGAAAUUUUUUCCAAAGUCUUAUAUGCGUACCAUAAAACUUCGAAAUCUAGUAUUGGGGCCACCCUGGUUUCAUUGGUCUACUGUACCGAAGCACUAAUAUCGGUCGAAGUGGGAGAAUCAAGCCUCAGGUUCUGACGUGCGACCGAAGAAUCAAACGGUGAGGCCAUGAGCACGAGCUUGGAACUAUUAGAUGAAAGGAGCGAGGCUGUCCUAUUUCGGUUGGCUGCCAAAAUCAGCGGAUAGAAAGGUAUUACAACCGAAGAGCCAACUCAAAAUCUAGUAUUGGAGCCUAAUCUCGAUAUUUUAAAUAAUUGUGAAUCUUUUACUUUAUUUCGUCACAAAAAGUGAAUAUUACAAAAAUAUUUUAGUUUACGUAUCUUUCAUAAAUUUAAAUAAAAAAUAUACAAAAAUAGUACCUUAUUUUUAUUUUUAUACAUAAUCUUGAAAACAUAAAAAUAGUUUCAUAGUGUAGUUCACUUAAUUAAGAUUAGUUUUAUAUUUUUAUAUUAUAAUUGUAUAUAAUUUUAGAAGGAGGAAUUAGUUUUGGGUUGAUUUAUCCCGUCUUUAUGAAUCUUGCAGUCCAUUUUUUUUGUCUUUGGCCCAAUUCCCAAGCCCAUAAUUCCUAAGGCUAAAAAUAAGCCGCAAUACACUCUAUGGGGAUCAGCUAAAAGAAUAAAAAAUUGAGGAGCUAAUUUCCUAAGAAAAAAGGCUGACCUAACGCCUAAAAAGGCUGCAGCGCCGCAAUUCUCAAAAAGAACCCCCCGUUCAUUUCAAUCAGCAAUCAACGUUCUUCUUCACCAAAAUCACGAAGCAACAACCAUUUUUGUAAGCUUAGACCCAUCAACAAGCAACCAAGUGAACUAAUGACACAGUUUCUUCUUCACAAAACCGGUGAAAAACCCCUUUUCUUCAGAACACAGCUGCAACAGCCAUAAACACGAUCUCGUUCCUUGUCUUCCUCACCCCAUUUCAUCGUUAGCAGUUCAGCGACAGCCAUGGCUGAGCAACUCCGGCGAAUCACCAAAUAAUAAUCAACAAUCGAACUCCGGCGUAAAACAACCCUUGUGAUGUCCAAAGUUGUCGUCCAAGCUCACUCAAGUUGAAUCCGACGAGAAAUCUGGCGAGUUUCGAGGUUUGGUCGUAGUUCCAUCGAGGGUUAGUAAAUUUUUCGGUCGAGGUCAGUGUCGAGUCUCAGAUUCAUGUAAAGUUUCAUUUUUGGCCUCACCCUUGACUGAUAUAGAACUUCUGAAUUUUAUAAUGCAUGUAGAAAGAAGUAUUGUUGUUAAUGAACAUUUGUAUAUAUGUGUUUGACAAAUUUGAGUUGAUCUGCUUCAUUUUCAUGUAUGUUGGUUUCAUAAUAACGUAUAUCAUCAGUAGUAUGUUUGUUUAAUGGGAGUUUAAGAAUGAUGGAAUGUGAAUAAGUAAAGUAGAUGUAUUGAAUUGGAAAUGCAAAGUUUGAUAGGAAUAGUUUGGUUGUUUCUGUGAAUCGAUUUUCGUUGUGUG